Tachysurus vachellii is the source of this 1678-nucleotide long non-coding RNA. RefSeq lists it as uncharacterized. Lineage: Eukaryota; Metazoa; Chordata; Actinopteri; Siluriformes; Bagridae. The record is from RefSeq and is a predicted model, not a curated record. The transcript has 3 exons.
AUUAGUCAAAGGUUUACUGGUGUAUAAAAUGGGGGAGAAGAAUCUCAGGCUUUUAUAUGGGGCAUGACGGGAGGGAAAGGAGCACGGAAGCAAGAGGAAGGCAAGGAAGACCAAAAGAAGUUUGGCAAUGGCAUCUUAAAGCAGAAACUGAAACAGAUGAUGAUGCGCUCACGGAAGAAAAACCCUCGCCUUUCACAAGACAGCCACAAAUUCUGUGACAUUCUGCUCUGAUGGAUACCUGUAGGCAAGAAUUACAAUUUUUUGGCACUAGUCUAUAUAAGGUAAUGCUACAAAUUGAUCAUUUGUGCACUUGUUACUUGAUCCAUGACUACAAAUGACUAAUUGUUUACAUUGAAUGAACAUAGUGCUGUCUGGUCCGAACAUGCAGGUCUAUCAUAUCUGCCAGACUCUAAGGGGGUUUACACUGUGAGCGGUGAGGGUUUGGUACAUGUUUCCGCACUACCUGGAGUCUCGGCCCCUCUGGACGUGUGGGGUCCCAAAAUGCACCUUGUCCGAGUCUGAUGGGCAAGACGAGAGAAGGGGGGAGGAUGGGAGAGGAAGGGGCAUUUGAUGUUCCUCACUGGGGGAUGUAGAGGCAGAGGAGGUGACGGAUGAACCCUGGGAGGGGACAGCUCCCAAAGAUCUGACGGAGGCCCAUGAAGACAGACAACAGGGGCCAGAAUCUGGAGAUACAGGAGCUGAGGACACUGGCGCUCUGCGGAUGACCUUGGUGCCAGAACAGCCCCUGGUGCUCUCCUGUGCCUCUGAAUCAGCAGUGCUGGGGAUGAGGUUGACCAUGCAUUUAAAGGGCAAACACAAGCUAGAAGCCUCCUCUUUCGCUAUAGUUGGCGCCAUCCAGCUAUAAGAUGACAGAACAGCUCAGCAGAGGGUUGGGCAAAAGGAUGUGGCACCAUGAUAAAAUGUGUUAGGGCAAUCACCGGAUGUUAGUGAGCCUAACAGCACAAUUCUACAUUCUAGCUGCCAUUUCUAGUGCAUUCAAUUCUGAGAACCUAUUCCUGAGUACCUGGCAGAUCCCUGAACAGAGAGUUCUGCUUUCUGCGGUUCCUCAACUUCCUCUUCCUCCUCCUCUCUGUGGUGAAAAGGAGGAAUUGAGGGAUGGAUGAUAGAAGUGAAAACAGAAGAGAGGGCAGGGGGAGGAGAAGAAGAAAUGUUGCACAUAGAUAACAUGACAGCAGACACUACAAAAUGCACUGACGGCAGACAAAACAAAAGAAACAGUGGCACAAACAAGAGAGACACAAGAUUUGGUCCAGGUCUGUGCCCUUUCUGCUGAGGUGCCUCUGGGAGAUGGCUUCAAUGCCCUGCUCCUCCAGAAAGUCCACCACGUCAUAGAACGAGUCCUGGUCUGCAAGGCCUGCAAGUGUCUGUAAAGAUAAAUAAAAGAACUCAGUUUUCCACAGUAAGUCUUAUGCACGGCUCAUUCAGAGCAGUCAGAACUCAUGUGCCUACCUUAUUAAUGAGGGUCAUAACAUAGACCAGCAACUCAGUGUCCACACCAUCCUUCUCGUCCAAGAUUUCCAUGGCGUUGGACCACGGCUUACAACCUGCAGACAGAUUUACAUCAAACACAGCAAGGCCAAGUACACAGUGAUGAUUGCAUGUGUUAAAACCAUUCAGCCCUACAAUUAUUGGCAGAAAUGACUGUAUAAUAUUAAUA